This 589-nucleotide ribosomal RNA is filed under the name uncultured bacterium. RNAcentral's name for it is "bacterial SSU rRNA". It matches the Rfam family "Bacterial small subunit ribosomal RNA", at positions 1 to 571 of the family's 1533-position model. The record is from RNAcentral.
CCCUUGAGUUUGANCCUGGCUCAGAUUGAACGCUGGCGGCAGGCCUAACACAUGCAAGUCGAGCGGAAACGAGUUAACUGAACCUUCGGGGGACGUUAACGGCGUCGAGCGGCGGACGGGUGAGUAAUGCCUGGGAAAUUGCCCUGAUGUGGGGGAUAACCAUUGGAAACGAUGGCUAAUACCGCAUAAUAGCUUCGGCUCAAAGAGGGGGACCUUCGGGCCUCUCGCGUCAGGAUAUGCCCAGGUGGGAUUAGCUAGUUGGUGAGGUAAUGGCUCACCAAGGCGACGAUCCCUAGCUGGUCUGAGAGGAUGAUCAGCCACACUGGAACUGAGACACGGUCCAGACUCCUACGGGAGGCAGCAGUGGGGAAUAUUGCACAAUGGGCGCAAGCCUGAUGCAGCCAUGCCGCGUGUAUGAAGAAGGCCUUCGGGUUGUAAAGUACUUUCAGCAGUGAGGAAGGUGGGUAUGUUAAUAGCAUACUCAUUUGACGUUAGCUGCAGAAGAAGCACCGGCUAACUCCGUGCCAGCAGCCGCGGUAAUACGGGAGGGUGCGAGCGUUAAUCGAAAUUACUGGGCGUAAAGCGCAGG